Molecule: long non-coding RNA, 506 nt
Organism: Zingiber officinale
Lineage: Eukaryota; Viridiplantae; Streptophyta; Magnoliopsida; Zingiberales; Zingiberaceae
Exons: 4
Source: RefSeq, a predicted model, not a curated record
CUUGACGGUUUGUUCCACAAUCUCUGCGACAUAAACCAGUUAUAUGGUAGAUACCUAGAAUGAUGAACUAGCAUGGUAGUUGGAUUUGGUUUGCACGAAAUGAAAGUAGAAAAAGAAGGCCUAGCUGCUACAGAAUAGCUUGACUAACAAUUUGCAAGCCAGAAAUCCUUGUGAAAGUUAAUCGAGGCAAGUCUCCAUAGAAGAAGGAGAAGGUAAAGCGCAAGAGCUCGGUGUCAUGUUUAUCAAAACAAGCGCAAAAGCUGGCUUCAAUAUAAAGGCUCUCUUUCGAAAGAUUGCGGCUGCCUUGCCCGGGAUGGAAACCUUUCUCCUCCAUGUUGCUUAGAUUUAUGAGGAAAGUGAAAGUGAGGAUGAUGGUCUUGACAUGGGUGAUGAUGAUGAUGUUGAGGAACUUGAAAAUGAAUCAGAGGCUGUUAGGAAAGAACCAACCAUUGAGAAACCUGCUCUUGUUUCAGCAUCAUUUGUUGUUUGCCUAUUGAAAAUUAAUG